Molecule: ribosomal RNA, 253 nt
Filed under: uncultured bacterium
Lineage: Bacteria
Description: partial 16S ribosomal RNA
Rfam family: Bacterial small subunit ribosomal RNA
Source: RNAcentral
UACAGAGGUCCCAAGCGUUGUUCGGAUUCACUGGGCGUAAAGGGUACGUAGGUGGCGAAGUAAGUCGGAUGUGAAAUCUCCGAGCUCAACUCGGAAACUGCAUUGGAAACUACUUUGCUUGAGGGUCGGAGGGGGGACUGGAAUUCUCGGUGUAGCAGUGAAAUGCGUAGAUAUCGAGAGGAACACCAGUGGCGAAGGCGAGUCCCUGGACGACUCCUGACACUGAGAGACGAAAGCUAGGGGAGCGAAUGGG